AGGCUGGGUGUGUAAUCACAGCAAUGUGUUUAGCUUACCAGUACUAAUCGGCCGUGAGGCUUGACCAUAAAA
This 72-nucleotide ribosomal RNA is filed under the name Oryzomonas japonica. Its description in RNAcentral is "Geobacter sp. Red96 partial 23S ribosomal RNA". The record is from RNAcentral. Lineage: Bacteria; Pseudomonadati; Thermodesulfobacteriota; Desulfuromonadia; Geobacterales; Geobacteraceae.